AUUUCAUCUUGACCAUCUUUGAGGGACUAUUGAUGCUUUUGGUAUCAGCAGCCACAGAAUUCAUCAGACACAGCACAAAAGAGCAGGAGAAGAGAUAAUGGCAGAUGCCAGAAGAGAUCCAGUUUGGCAUUCUGUCUAAGUUCACUGCACAGAGACGGGUUUGGCUCUGUGAUUCAUCAGAAAUAAGAAAAACAAACACUGUAAAUGGAGAACUUGAAAAAGAGGUGGGCACCAUCUCCCCACCCAAGAGAAUGGAUUUAAGAGGAAAUUUGUUUAUGGGAUGAAGUUUUAAAAGGCGACCUGGAAAAUUUAGCAAAGAUGUAAAUAAACAACUCUUCCUUGGAUUGCAUUAGGCUUCAGAAUAAAUAUAUUAACCAGCUUCAGUCAAAGUCUGCCUAGAAUCUGACCCUGACAAGACCCAGUGACUAGUGCUGCUCCGAACCUUCCCCACCAACAGCAGGCAAUUUUCUCUGUGGCAAAGCUACCUCGAAACAGGCAUCCAGGCUUCCCUCCCACGAAGUGAAGAUGAGAAAACUGAGUCUCAGAAUGGACAAGCUCACAGAUGGCAAGUGGUAGAGCAGACUUCACACAUAGGUCUGUAUGACUUUUUAAAGUUUAUAUUCUUUCUCUUGAAAAAAUACCUCUUUUUAAAAGUAUUAUUCCUCUGUUUAGUUUUAGAUUGUUAUGAAAAAAAAAGGACCUUUUACAGAUCGACUCUUUUAUCCUACAAUAGGGGCUCUGAACCAUUUUGUGUAGGUUCAAAUAGAGCUAGGUUAGACAGAGUUGUCAACGGAAUCCAUCCAGUAGCCUCUGGCAUUUCAAGCAAAGAUUCCUUCAGAAAUACAUCUAAUAAUAGUUGUUCAUCUUCACUGAGCAUUCAUUAUACCCCAUGCACUCU
This 898-nucleotide long non-coding RNA is filed under the name Homo sapiens (human). Its description in RNAcentral is "LIX1 and RIOK2 antisense RNA 1, transcript variant 3 (LIX1-AS1)". The record is from RNAcentral. Lineage: Eukaryota; Metazoa; Chordata; Mammalia; Primates; Hominidae.